GGAUGUGCGCGCUUGGAGCGCUGGUUCUGGGGCCCGGCUGCUGCGGGACGGGUGUCCCUGUGCCACCCCUGUGGGUCGCAGAGAGAAGCUGCUGCUGUGGCUGUGGCCGAGGCUCAGUGGGGAAAACUCAACAGUCCUGAUGGAAAGGGAUGGAAAAGCAAGUUUUGUUUGGUUUUGGACUUUCCCAGAAGUUUUUUGGUUUUGCUUUUGGUUUUUUUUACAUUUUCCCCCUGAGCCUAUCUGUUUGUUUUGCCUUAGGAAACAGGAACAGGAGACAGAAGGGGGAAUGGGGACAAAGACAAUUUUUUACCCCAAAAGGGACGAGUGCAUUUAUAUUUAUUUCCUGACCCAGCUGGAAUGAUUUGGGUCUCAGGAGGCACCUGGGAGCCUCCUUUUGUCCUGGAUGGGGCCGUGGCUGUAAAAGGGGUAAAGGGUGGAGCAGAGGUGGGCAGAGGAGUAGUGGUUGUGAUCAAUGAUAAAUUGGGGAUUUGCAUCUGGAAACAGCCAUCAUUUUCCUCAUGGGAGUCCUGGAAACAGCUGAGAGUCCGUGAGAAAUGAGGAUACUGCAGCUGGAAUGCUGAGAAUGGAGAGUGUGCAGGGAAUAUUGCCUGGGACAGCGUCUUAGCCCAGGUCUUGGGAGCUGUGUGCACAUUCCUCCCUGGAGCAGGGAACCCCCGUGAGGAGGAGCCAGAGAUGGGGACAUCGAACCAGGUGCUGCCCAGGAUGGACAUCUCUGGUCUCAGACAGUAAUUCCCUAGGAGGAAGGGGAGCCUCUGCCUCAUCUGCACAGCUCAGGUGGAUGUGACAGAAUUGGUGUGGCCUGACAAGGCAUGAACAGCUCUCUGUGUUCUGGAGUGCCUCAAAACCUCUCUCUGGCAGGACAGGAAAAAGCAUUACACUCCUCCCAUCUUUGCCAAAAGCUGUGGUGUUUGAGCAGCCAAAGCCAGGAGGCUUCAGCACCAGGGCUCUGCCCUGGAGGGCUCCUGGUCCUGCCCAUGCUGUGGGGUCAGCAGGAACAGGAGGAAAUGGGGUGCCAGAGCCGUGUGCCAUCAGGCUGUGUUUCCCUCUGGGAACAGAGCUGCUGCUGGAACCAUGGCCUUAGGUCUGCUCCCUCUGUGUCUGUGCCAGGGAGAAGAACACCAACUCACAGCCAUUUGGGCCUGACAGUCCCCUGCAGCGAGAGCUCAGCACACAUCCACAGAGGCAAGUCCAGCAUCUGAAAGGAAAAAAAACAAACAGAAGGAAAAGAGCUGCCCCUUGAACACCAGCUGUGCCAGGAACCAGCAGAACUUCCAAGGAAGCUCAGCAGCAUCGGGACAGGGACAGGAAAGGGUGCACAUCCCUGCCUUCAGCACACCUCCAGUGGGACUCACCUGCAAAAGCUUUCCAUCCCUUCUGUACUUCCAGCUGGCUUCCUGAAAAACUCCCAGCUUCAUCCAAACAAAACUUCAUCCCACCCAAACCUCUGAUUUUAAGGCAUUUCUGCAGGUUGUUGUGUGGGAUUUAGUACCUGUGAGGGAAGAUUGCAUUGGCUGGAAUGCUGCUGCUGAAUGAUGGCCUCAGGCUGGAAGGGAAGGGUUUUGGGGUGGCUGGAACUCACCUGGCAGCUGUGUGGGAGCUCUGGGAGGUUGGAACCGGGAAUUGCUGCCUGAGCCCCUCUGCAAGUGCCCCAUGCUGCCAUCAGCAGGAAAUGCCAACUGUGCCUUGGGGUGAUUUUGGGCUGUAGGUGAUCUCCAUCCAGGCUGGAGCAUCUCCAGGUGCCUGUUCAGAGCAGCCCCUGGCCCAGGAGCCACGGGCAGCCCUGGAGCCGUGUCCGUGCCAGCACUGCCCGGGCACUCCAGUGUCCAUCCCUGGGACGUGCUUGGCACAGGCAGGACGCUGCAGAGCCCAAGGACAAGAGGUGCUGGUUGCCUUUCAGGGACUCCUGGCCUUCUCCUGCCCCACAUUGCCAUCUGGGACACACAGAAACACCAAGGAACAUUGCUGGCAGUGAGCAGGAGACACCGAGGCCUCUGUGCAGCUCUAGGACCCAAAAACAGCUCCAGGAGUUGCCAUCAUCUUAGCCUGGUGAUACUCACCUGCAGGAAAUAUCCUAUGGACUUGAAAGUCCGAUUUUACGAUCCCUCUCAACCCCAGUAGAUCUUUCACAUGUCCUGUGAUCUGGAAGUAAAGAGAAAAAUUCCCAGUUGAGUUUUUAUAAAUGAGGUUUUGCCAUUGCAGA
Catharus ustulatus (Swainson's thrush) is the source of this 2221-nucleotide long non-coding RNA. RefSeq lists it as uncharacterized. The transcript has 8 exons. Lineage: Eukaryota; Metazoa; Chordata; Aves; Passeriformes; Turdidae. The record is from RefSeq and is a predicted model, not a curated record.